Molecule: unclassified non-coding RNA, 326 nt
Organism: Fukomys damarensis (Damara mole-rat)
Lineage: Eukaryota; Metazoa; Chordata; Mammalia; Rodentia; Bathyergidae
Gene: 7SK
Rfam family: 7SK RNA
About the family: 7SK was discovered as an abundant small nuclear RNA in the mid-70s but a possible function has only recently been suggested. Two independent studies have found that 7SK RNA binds the CDK9/cyclin T complex (known as elongation factor P-TEFb).
Source: Ensembl
GGAUGUAAAUGCAAUCUGGCUGCAGCAUCUCUCAUCCCGGGAUUGAUUUGGCUAAUCUGGCUGACUAGGCAAAUGUCCCAAUCCUCCCUCGCUGCUCCAUGUGCAUCCCUCCCAAAGCUGUGUGCUUAGUUGAUGGGGAAGAGUAUCUCUGAUAGAGGAGGACUGUUUCCACCAUCAAGGGUAUGAAGCAGCUGUGCUCCCCACUAGAACCUCCAAACAAGCUCUCAAAUAAAAACUAAACAUAUUUUCGCUAUGUAGGAAAUCAGGAUAUUAUUGUUAUUAAACUCUUUAAUAAUUAGUAAUUAUAAGAUUAUUUUCAUAUCUAU